This 465-nucleotide ribosomal RNA is filed under the name uncultured bacterium. RNAcentral's name for it is "partial 16S ribosomal RNA". It matches the Rfam family "Bacterial small subunit ribosomal RNA", at positions 28 to 507 of the family's 1533-position model. The record is from RNAcentral.
GACGAACGCUGGCGGCGUGCUUAACACAUGCAAGUCGAACGGAAAGGCCCUGCUUGCAGGGUACUCGAGUGGCGAACGGGUGAGUAACACGUGGGUGAUCUGCCCUGCACUUCGGGAUAAGCCUGGGAAACUGGGUCUAAUACCGGAUAGGAGCCAUUUUUAGUGUGAUGGUUGGAAAGUUUUUUCGGUGUAGGAUGAGCUCGCGGCCUAUCAGCUUGUUGGUGGGGUAAUGGCCUACCAAGGCGGCGACGGGUAGCCGGCCUGAGAGGGUGGACGGCCACAUUGGGACUGAGAUACGGCCCAGACUCCUACGGGAGGCAGCAGUGGGGAAUAUUGCACAAUGGGCGCAAGCCAGAUGCAGCGACGCCGCGUGGGGGAUGACGGCCUUCGGGUUGUAAACUCCUUUCGCUAGGGACGAAGCUUUUUGUGACGGUACCUAGAGAAGAAGCACCGGCUAACUACGUG